Osmerus eperlanus (European smelt) is the source of this 4182-nucleotide long non-coding RNA. RefSeq lists it as uncharacterized. The record is from RefSeq and is a predicted model, not a curated record. NCBI's taxonomy places the organism in Eukaryota, Metazoa, Chordata, Actinopteri, Osmeriformes, Osmeridae. The transcript has 2 exons.
UUAGGUGCUGGUGUUCAUCAGACGGGGUUAGGUGCUGGUGUUCAUCAGACGGGGUUAGGUGCUGGUGUUCAUCAGACGGGGUUAGGUGCUGGUGUUCAUCAGACGGGGUUAGGUGCUGGUGUUCAUCAGACGGGGUUAGGUGCUGGUGUUCAUCAGACGGGGUUAGGUGCUGGUGUUCAUCAGACGGGGUUAGGUGCUGGUGUUCAUCAGACGGGGUUAGGUGCUGGUGUUCAUCAGACGGGGUUAGGUGCUGGUGUUCAUCAGACGGGGUUAGGUGCUGGUGUUCAUCAGACGGGGUUAGGUGCUGGUGUUCAUCAGACGGGGUUAGGUGCUGGUGUUCAUCAGACGGGGUUAGGUGCUGGUGUUCAUCAGACGGGGUUAGGUGCUGGUGUUCAUCAGACGGGGUUAGGUGCUGGUGUUCAUCAGACGGGGUUAGGUGCUGGUGUUCAUCAGACGGGGUUAGGUGCUGGUGUUCAUCAGACGGGGUUAGGUGCUGGUGUUCAUCAGACGGGGUUAGGUGCUGGUGUUCAUCAGACGGGGUUAGGUGCUGGUGUUCAUCAGACGGGGUUAGGUGCUGGUGUUCAUCAGACGGGGUUAGGUGCUGGUGUUCAUCAGACGGGGUUAGGUGCUGGUGUUCAUCAGACGGGGUUAGGUGCUGGUGUUCAUCAGACGGGGUUAGGUGCUGGUGUUCAUCAGACGGGGUUAGGUGCUGGUGUUCAUCAGACGGGGGUGCAGGCUUCACAGCUGCUGUCUUCAACAUGGUGUCCUCAGUGACAUCUGCUGGUGAUCUGUCACCUAGUCUGAACAUGGUGCCUUGCAAAAUCAGCCUUUAGUAGGACUAUGGUAGUGAUUAGGAAAGGGUGUGUUCGAUAUGUAAAAAUAUAUAAAUAUAUUAAGGGAAAAAAAUGAUGUGCAUGAAAUCUGGAUUUGAUCUAUUUUUUUUUUGUUCAGAGUCAGUGUAGCGUUGAGUAACAAAUGUAGGUGAGUCAGUAAGGAAACAUCACAGCAGUCAAUAGACUUACUGACUUACAGUAAGUACAGGGACAUUCCCCCGAGGCAAGUAUGGUGAAGUGCCUUGCCUAAGGACACAACACCAUUUGGCACGGCCUGGCAACCUUCAGAUUACUAGCCCGAUUCCCUAACCGCUCAGCCACCUGACUCCCCCUUGACUGGCUCCCCCUUGUUCUAGACCAGUGAUUCCCAACAUGUGGUCCGCUAGGUUAAUACAGGUGGGCCGCCAAACCAAUGAAAACAACUAAAGUAUGACUAAAUAUCAAAAUACUUAUAUAUAUAUAUACUGUUGGUAAAUGAUUAUUUAAAUUUGUACUAAUUUAAAAAUGAAAUUUUGCCGUUAAUUCAUUAUGACCAAAACGUCAAUAGUUACGCGUGCAUGCGGCCACUUCUAUCCCCUAUGCACUCGUCACUUCUGCAUAUUGCAAAAUCCAGGUCAAAAUGUUCCGGUAGCGAGCCUUUACAGUAUUCGGGUUGCCUUCCCAAAAUGACAAUCAACAAUGUAAUUUUGAGCAGUAACGUUAGCUAGGCUAGCUAGCUUACAAUUUUUUGCUACAUUAUAAUGUACUCAAUUGUCUGGCAGCUUGCUUGCUAGUGGUUAAUGUUAACUCUGUACAUAAAUAAUUGGUCUGCCAUAUUUGUUCCCUAUGGAUAAUGUAACACAUUAGGAGUGGUGUUGUUAAACGUGUGAUAAACGAGAAUUAAGUGGGGAUGUGUUGGGAAGCAUUUGAGCUAUGCAAGAAGUGAGCCGCAAAGUGGAAAAGGUCGGGAAUGGCUGGUCUAGACUGCUAUACACAAAGUAGAGUAGCAUUAACUAAGGCAGAGACGCAUUGCAUUGAACUUUUCAACAUAAUUUGCAAAGUGUAUCAUCAAUAUACUGUUUAAACUGACUAACGCAUGACUAAUCUUUAAUAUUUUGUAUCUUUUGUACAGAAGACUCAAGGUCUUUACAUUGUUUUCUACAUGAGAUUAACUUUAGUACCUUAAGUAGCGUUUACAAGCUUGUUCCUAGCUGUUCCCGCUAGCUCCUGUUCCCGCUAGCUCCUGUUCCCGCUAGCUCCUGUUCCCGCUAGCUCCUGUUCCCGCUAGCUCCUGUUCCCGCUAGCGUCACUGUGUCCAAUCCCGACCGGUUUUUAGCUAACAUUCUGAUAAAAUGCCACUUCAAAUAUUGAUAAAAUAAUCGUAUCACGUUUUCAGCUGAUUUACUGAUUUCACGUUAAGCUUUAACUUCUUACCUUUCGAGCUAAAUAUUGUUUAAAAAUUUAGAGUUAGCUUAGCCUUUACUAGAGCCGGUCAAAAGACGCUGGCGCCGGUAAAUUAGCCGUGCGCUACCCUUGUCCAAACCCGACCGCACUUCUAAACACUGGCCGCUGCUGUUUUUCUGGGGAUAUUAACUUGAUCCAGGGUCACCAAACUGACCAUCAAUGCUGUCAACAUAUCUGGGGACGUAGUUAUGUCCUCCACAAUAAGAUAUCACGCUUCAACAUCUCCAAACUAUGCGAUAAAAUCUCAAUUUGACUGUAUACCACCACCUGCUGGAUGUUUUGUUGAACUCUUCUCAAAGUUUGCUAGCCCCCAUCCCUUCCUCCCCUCGACUACAGAUCACGUCACACAUGAUCGUGUAUUUUCAUUGGCAAGACAAAGUAGUGUUAAGCUAGCAUUGAAAUACAUUCAUAUGCUCGUCGCCCGAGUGUCGCCGAGUGGUCUUUCGGCCAAAGUAACUUUCCUAUAUUAUUUAGACAUGUAAACGUCCAUAUAUGUUCAUGAAAUUUUACACGUAGAUUGUUUGGUAUGCCUGAAAUAAUACUACUUACACUGCUGGCGAUAGCAAAAGAAAAUGCUGGCAAAAAGACCGGAAACUGAGUGUCCAAACCCCGUUCGGGUUUGGACAAUAGUAGUUUACAGCGGUCGGGAUUGGACACAGUGACGUUAGCUGCUAGCUAGCUCCUGCUAGCUAGCUAGCUCCUGCAAGGUGCAGUGGGACCCACGUGCAGCCCUGUUCCUGGCUUCAAGUCAGAACUUCAGCAGCUGGGCCUUUGUACAUUUUAGAUGUCGACACUUUAAUGCGAGCUGGAAUUUGAGAUUAUUCUUUGUGUCUAUUUUUACAUAUUACUUGAUAAAUGGAGUGUUUUUGCGGUCGUGGUCCGUAACGUUUACGUGCGUAGACUUGAUAGCUUAGCCUGACUUCCAGACCACAGAGUCAGCAGUCAGGAGUUUUGGUUGGGUUUCUGGUCAGGAACAUGGAUUGAGAGGAACAUUUGACUAAGUGCCAUGGUACACGAGGUCCUGAUGCAGUUUUGGAAUAAACACAGGCAGCAGAGUUUCUCCACUGUGCUGACGUCAUUUCCUUCCAGAGCAAUUUUGACUCCCCGAGUCCAGUUUUAAUUUCCUGUCAUUUGAACCGGCUUGAAUUCCCCUGGGGGCAGAUUUCACUUGGCUUUCUGCAAAGCAAGCUCUUCUCUUUGCACUUAUUACGUCAUAUAUAUAUACUCUUAUGCUGACUCUGAAGUUUAUUUACCUGCAGCAAUUGUCUUUAAAUUGCUUUCUGUGCUUUGUAAUAUACUUGUCAUUUUUAUUUGGUCAGUGUAUUCCUUUUUGAUCUCCAUGGAUCAGUUUGAAACCCACAGUUCACCCAGCCUUUCUGCCAGUAGGAUGGAAGGUCAUUUCCAAAUAAGUGUUCUUUGUUUAAAAAUCCAAAAUGGCGGCUGAAUGUCAUUCACCUCUUCUGUUUUGGUUUUGAACAAAGGUGAGGGGAGGGGUUAGGGGAGGGCCCUGCUGUAAACUCACAGUAAGACAGCUGCCUGGACACAAUCCAGCUGGUCCUGAACAUCAUGGUACUUUCAGUAGAGUUUUCCUUUUGAAGUUGCCUUCAGUGCUAAAAUCAGGCUGUUUGGGCUCCAGGGAAGCUGCCCAAAGUCUUCCUGGUUGCUGCCGUCACCUGGUAACACGUCUCCAAGCGUCUCUAAACCAGCCUUGUAGCUGUGCUGGUCAUGGUCUCAUCCACCUGCCUGGUGUGCACAGUCAUGUCUAGUUUAACUCACUAAUCAGCCUCAAAACCAAGUAACCUUAAGUCCUGAUGAGCCUGUUUCCUUCCUGAUUAUAAACAGUGUAACUGAUGUUUGUAUGUUCUUUUCUUUUUCCCCUCAAGAAUAAAGUAAUUACUUUUGGGUA